UAAGACACUCACUCUUACACACACACAAAUACACACACAUACGAACACACAAACAGGAGAUUGUUUUUGUCCUUUGGUUAACUGACAACUCGGGCCAACCAAUCAAAGAAAACACACAGGUUAACCAAUUAUCUUCAGGAAUGUGUUGGCAUACAAAACCGCAGGCAUUUAUUUACUGAUCUUCGUCUACUGCAGAUGUCAAUCUAUCGUUUUUGUUCAUCUAUAGUUUGGAAGGAAACAUUAUAUUGAAAAUAUUUUUGAAUGGCUCUGAUCCACAGUGGUUGAUGGAUGAUAAUGGACUCCACUGUGUUUCUCUGACAAGCUAAUCAGGAGUCGUGCCGCCCUGGCUGACAGCACUACUGCUCUGGAUGACAGGGCCCCGCCCAUAGCAACCAAUCAGAUGCCGAGGCUCUGGAAACUGAGGAAAGUGACGCCUCCUAUUGGUUAAUGGCCGUGUCCAUCAACGUGUCGCUAGGGGCGCACCUUGGUCCAAGGGCAGGGCACCUGCCAUGCAAGGAUGCUGAGCGCCGCAGGUGCAGCCAAAUCAAGUGAUGAAAGAGAUGUAGGAGGAGAAAAUGAAAAGACGUGUUGGAGAGUGAGGACAGACAUCACAGACAGCUGCACAAACAAAUGACGAGAUGAAAUCGGCAGCUUCCUCCCUUAAGCUUGCAUUUUUACCAUGUUUUUUUGAAUUCUCAAAUAAGAGUUAUCACACACAUCCAAAUCAGCACUACAUUUCAUAAGGGGAGCACCUGUUAAAGCUAAAAUCCAUGUAUUGUUACUCUCCAUACUGUAAAUCUGGUUUUACAGUAUAUAUGAAUAAGUAUUUUUUUAAAUAUAUAAUCCAUAUUUCCACAUAAUGUAUUAUGCAAAUGUUAAGUGAGGGUGCUUUAAAAAUAAUUCCAUGAAUAUUUUUUUACUUUCUACACAGUAAAUAGGAAAUCAGAAAAAAAAAAUCAAUAAUUGUUGUAACUACCCUUUAAAACAGCACCAGUUAACCGUGGUACAAUUAGCAGGUAAGUUUUCCCAAGCAUCUUGGAGAACUUGUAACUGUAAUCUUAUGUGGAUUAAGUCUGUCUCACUGUCUUCUGUCUCUUCAUGUAACCUCAGACUGACUCCAUGAUGUUGACCAGUCCUCUGUGGGGGCCAGACCAUCUGUUGCAGGACUCUUGUUAUUCCUCUCACUGACACUAGUUCUUUAUGACUGUGGCUGUAUGGGUCAUGCUGCAGAAGACACCUUCUUGAUGUUAUGCAUCCAUAGACCUAAAACUUUUGCACAGCAUGGUUAUUGGAGGCCCUAAUGGACAGCAUAUCUCUCAGGGUAAAAUACUUUAGCUUCAUUUCUACAGAGGCAGCUCUAGAAAAGGGGUGUUCUGAAUCAAAUCUAGCCAGAAAAGCUGAUCAGGCCUAUAAACUCAACAACUGAUGGAACGAGAGAAAUUACCAGACAGUAAGAGCUCCACCUGCUCUCUGAAGAAGCUGGUGGUCAAGGUGUAGAGGAUGGGGUUCAAGGCGCUGUUGAUGGGAAGGAUGAAGAUGACUACCCAGCUGGAGAUGGUCCCUAAAAGAAACCAAUGUUUUUAAGAAGUAUCUCCACCUCCAAGAGUGAGAGAAUCUUCACCAGAAAUAUAGGAAUCCAGCAGAGGGCAUCAGAGAACACUAUGAAGAAGAACCUGUUGGCCACAGCCACAUCUCUGUGCAGUCUGCUCCUCAAGUCUGUUGCAUUG
Long non-coding RNA from Lates calcarifer (barramundi perch), 1727 nucleotides. RefSeq lists it as uncharacterized. The record is from RefSeq and is a predicted model, not a curated record. NCBI's taxonomy places the organism in Eukaryota, Metazoa, Chordata, Actinopteri, Centropomidae. The transcript has 6 exons.